GCUGAGUUAGCAGAGCCCGGCCAAAUGCAAAAGGCCUAAGCCCUUUACUCAGAGAUUCAAAUCCUCUACCCAGCA
This 75-nucleotide transfer RNA is filed under the name Paleosuchus trigonatus (Schneider's dwarf caiman). RNAcentral describes it as "tRNA-Leu". It matches the Rfam family "tRNA". Rfam says of the family: Transfer RNA (tRNA) molecules are approximately 80 nucleotides in length. Lineage: Eukaryota; Metazoa; Chordata; Crocodylia; Alligatoridae. The record is from RNAcentral.